UACGGGGGGGGUAAGCGUUGUUCGGAAUUACUGGGCGUAAAGGGCUCGUAGGCGGCCAACUAAGUCAUACGUGAAAUCCCUCAGCUUAACUGGGGAACUGCGUGUGAUACUGGAUGGCUUGGAUUUGGGAGAGGGAUGCGGAAUUCCGGGUGUAGCGGUGAAAUGCGUAGAUAUCUGGAGGAACACCGGUGGCGAAGGCGGCAUCCUGGACCAAUAUUGACGCUGAGGAGCGAAAGCCAGGGGAGCAAACGGG
Molecule: ribosomal RNA, 253 nt
Filed under: uncultured bacterium
Lineage: Bacteria
Description: partial 16S ribosomal RNA
Rfam family: Bacterial small subunit ribosomal RNA
Source: RNAcentral